AGUGAACGCUGGCGGUAGGCCUAACACAUGCAAGUCGAACGGCAGCACAGUAAGAGCUUGCUCUUACGGGUGGCGAGUGGCGGACGGGUGAGGAAUACAUCGGAAUCUACUUUUUCGUGGGGGAUAACGUAGGGAAACUUACGCUAAUACCGCAUACGACCUACGGGUGAAAGCAGGGGAUCUUCGGACCUUGCGCGAUUGAAUGAGCCGAUGUCGGAUUAGCUAGUUGGCGGGGUAAAUGCCCACCAAGGCGACGAUCCGUAGCUGGUCUGAGAGGAUGAUCCGCCACACUGGAACUGAGACACGGUCCAGACUCCUACGGGAGGCAGCAGUGGGGAAUAUUGGACAAUGGGCGCAAGCCUGAUCCAGCCAUACCGCGUGGGUGAAGAAGGCCUUCGGGUUGUAAAGCCCUUUUGUUGGGAAAGAAAAGCAGCAGGUUAAUACCCCGCUGUUCUGACGGUACCCAAAGAAUAAGCACCGGCUAACUUCGUG
Molecule: ribosomal RNA, 492 nt
Filed under: uncultured bacterium
Lineage: Bacteria
Description: partial 16S ribosomal RNA
Rfam family: Bacterial small subunit ribosomal RNA
Source: RNAcentral